CGGCGGACGGGUGAGUAAUGCGUAGGGAUCAACCCUAAAGAGUGGGACAACUCGGGGAAACUCGAGCUAAUACCACAUAAUCUCUGAGGAGCAAACCUGGAAACGGGGCUUUAGGCUGAACUUACGUUAGAUUAGCUAGUUGGUAGGGUAAAGGCCUACCAAGGCGACGAUCUAUAGCUGGUUUGAGAGGACGAUCAGCCACACUGGGACUGAGACACGGCCCAGACUCC
RNAcentral lists this ribosomal RNA (230 nucleotides) under uncultured bacterium. RNAcentral's name for it is "partial 16S ribosomal RNA". It matches the Rfam family "Bacterial small subunit ribosomal RNA", at positions 96 to 339 of the family's 1533-position model. The record is from RNAcentral.